RNAcentral lists this transfer RNA (73 nucleotides) under Blastocladiella emersonii. Its description in RNAcentral is "tRNA-Phe". It matches the Rfam family "tRNA". From Rfam's summary of the family: Transfer RNA (tRNA) molecules are approximately 80 nucleotides in length. Their secondary structure includes four short double-helical elements and three loops (D, anti-codon, and T loops). Lineage: Eukaryota; Fungi; Blastocladiomycota; Blastocladiomycetes; Blastocladiales; Blastocladiaceae. The record is from RNAcentral.
GUUUGGUUAGCUUAUGUGGUACAAGUGCUCGACUGAAAAUCGAGAGAUAAUGGUUCGACUCCAUUACCAGACA